Marmota monax (woodchuck) is the source of this 681-nucleotide long non-coding RNA. RefSeq lists it as uncharacterized. The record is from RefSeq and is a predicted model, not a curated record. NCBI's taxonomy places the organism in Eukaryota, Metazoa, Chordata, Mammalia, Rodentia, Sciuridae. The transcript has 3 exons.
UUGCAACUAGCUCCCACGGAAGCCUGCACCAUUGGUAAAAAUAACACCACCCUUUAAGUAGGAAGGGUGUUAAGUAGGAUUUGGAGCAAUGAAUAGAUAACUUUGAGGGAUGUGGCCACUAAUAAGAAGCAAGGUGUUCUCCUGCUGCUUAGUGAACAGUUUACUUUGUCUUCUGCAUUUCUGGCUACCACACAGGCCCAGAAGCAAUGGAGCCAAUUGAUCAUGAACUGAAACAUCCAAAAUUGCAAGGCAUUAUCAUCACCCACUUUGAGAUGAGGAAACUGAAGCUUCUUCUCUGAACAUUCCCUCCACUGAUUUGUUUUCAGAGUCUGCCGCCCUCUGAGGCUGCUAAAGCUGCUGAGUGGAGGUUGGAUUCCCUCUCACACCAAAGUUCUUCAGGGUCAGCAAGCGGUGGCUUAUUCAGGUCAGCGUUUGAAUGCAGGUUUACCACACGCUAUGCCUGGAAUGAAUCAUGCUCCCACUUCCCCCUCAGGUAUGCCUGCACUAGUCGUGGAGUGCUCUCGGUUUAUUUUUCCCAUCUUUCAAAUGGGGAAAACAGAGCUGGGGUUGUGGCUCAGUGGUGGAGCACUUACAUCGCAUGCAUGAGGCACUGGGUUCGAUCCUCGGGACCACAUUAAAAAAAUAAAUAAAUAAAACAAAGAUACUGUGGCCAUCUACAAC